RNAcentral lists this ribosomal RNA (503 nucleotides) under uncultured bacterium. Its description in RNAcentral is "partial 16S ribosomal RNA". It matches the Rfam family "Bacterial small subunit ribosomal RNA", at positions 28 to 523 of the family's 1533-position model. The record is from RNAcentral.
GAUGAACGCUAGCGAUAGGCCUAACACAUGCAAGUCGAGGGGCAGCAUAGAGUAGCAAUACUUUGAUGGCGACCGGCGCACGGGUGAGUAACACGUAUGCAACCUACCUACAUCAGGGGAAUAACCCGGAGAAAUUCGGACUAAUACCGCAUAAUACAGGGAUGCCGCAUGGCAAUAUUUGUUAAAGAUUUAUCGGAUGUAGAUGGGCAUGCGUUCCAUUAGCUGGUUGGUAAGGUAACGGCUUACCAAGGCAACGAUGGAUAGGGGAACUGAGAGGUUUGUCCCCCACACUGGAACUGAGACACGGACCAGACUCCUACGGGAGGCAGCAGUGAGGAAUAUUGGUCAAUGGACGAGAGUCUGAACCAGCCAAAUCGCGUGAAGGAAGACUGCCCUACGGGUUGUAAACUUCUUUUGUACAGGAAUAAAAGACAUUACGUGUAAUGUAUUGCAUGUACUGUACGAAUAAGCAUCGGCUAACUCCGUGCCAGCAGCCGCAGUAA